GAUGAACGCUGGCGGCGUGCCUAAUACAUGCAAGUCGAGCGAACGGACGAGGAGCUUGCUCUUCUGACGUUAGCGGCGGACGGGUGAGUAACACGUGGAUAACCUACCUAUAAGACUGGGAUAACUUCGGGAAACCGGAGCUAAUACCGGAUAAUAUUUUGAACCGCAUGGUUCAAUAGUGAAAGACGGUUUUGCUGUCACUUAUAGAUGGAUCCGCGCUGCAUUAGCUAGUUGGUAAGGUAACGGCUUACCAAGGCGACGAUGCGUAGCCGACCUGAGAGGGUGAUCGGCCACACUGGAACUGAGACACGGUCCAGACUCCUACGGGAGGCAGCAGUAGGGAAUCUUCCGCAAUGGGCGAAAGCCUGACGGAGCAACGCCGCGUGAGUGAUGAAGGUCUUCGGAUCGUAAAACUCUGUUAUUAGGGAAGAACAAAUGUGUAAGUAACUAUGCACGUCUUGACGGUACCUAAUCAGAAAGCCACGGCUAACUACGUG
This 497-nucleotide ribosomal RNA is filed under the name uncultured bacterium. RNAcentral's name for it is "partial 16S ribosomal RNA". It matches the Rfam family "Bacterial small subunit ribosomal RNA", at positions 28 to 507 of the family's 1533-position model. The record is from RNAcentral.